Molecule: transfer RNA, 69 nt
Filed under: Hydrothassa glabra
Lineage: Eukaryota; Metazoa; Arthropoda; Insecta; Coleoptera; Chrysomelidae
Description: tRNA-Lys
Source: RNAcentral
CAUUAGAUGGCUGAAAGUAAGCAAUGGAAUUUUAAAUCAUGACAUAGUAUCUAACGUAUACUUCUAAUG